Molecule: ribosomal RNA, 390 nt
Filed under: uncultured bacterium
Lineage: Bacteria
Description: bacterial SSU rRNA
Rfam family: Bacterial small subunit ribosomal RNA
Source: RNAcentral
AUUGAACGCUGGCGGCGUGCUUAACACAUGCAAGUCGUGCGGUAACAGGCGUAGCAAUACGUGCUGACGAGCGGCGAACGGGUGCGUAAUACAUGGGAAUCUGCCUUUUAGUGGGGAAUAACCCGGCGAAAGCCGGGCUAAUGCCGCAUAAGAUCUUCGGAUGAAAGCGGGGGAUCGUAAGACCUCGCGCUGAUAGAUGAGCCCAUGCCGGAUUAGCUAGNGGUGAGGUAACGGCUCACCAAGGCGACGAUCCGUAGCUGGUCUGAGAGGACGGCCAGCCACACUGGGACUGAGACACGGCCCAGACUCCUACGGGAGGCAGCAGUGGGGAAUAUUGGACAAGUGGGGAAACCCUGAUCCAGCGACGCCGCGUGUGUGAAGAAGGCCUGG